GAUGAACGCUGGCGGCGUGCCUAAUACAUGCAAGUCGAGCGAACGGACGAGAAGCUUGCUUCUCUGAUGUUAGCGGCGGACGGGUGAGUAACACGUGGAUAACCUACCUAUAAGACUGGGAUAACUUCGGGAAACCGGAGCUAAUACCGGAUAAUAUUUUGAACCGCAUGGUUCAAAAGUGAAAGACGGUCUUGCUGUCACUUAUAGAUGGAUCCGCGCUGCAUUAGCUAGUUGGUAAGGUAACGGCUUACCAAGGCAACGAUGCAUAGCCGACCUGAGAGGGUGAUCGGCCACACUGGAACUGAGACACGGUCCAGACUCCUACGGGAGGCAGCAGUAGGGAAUCUUCCGCAAUGGGCGAAAGCCUGACGGAGCAACGCCGCGUGAGUGAUGAAGGUCUUCGGAUCGUAAAACUCUGUUAUUAGGGAAGAACAUAUGUGUAAGUAACUGUGCACAUCUUGACGGUACCUAAUCAGAAAGCCACGGCUAACUACGUGCCAGCAGCCGCGGUAAUACGUAGGUGGCAAGCGUUAUCCGGAAUUAUUGGGCGUAAAGCGCGCGUAGGCGGUUUUUUAAGUCUGAUGUGAAAGCCCACGGCUCAACCGUGGAGGGUCAUUGGAAACUGGAAAACUUGAGUGCAGAAGAGGAAAGUGGAAUUCCAUGUGUAGCGGUGAAAUGCGCAGAGACAUGGAGGAACACCAGUGGCGAAGGCGACUUUCUGGUCUGUAACUGACGCUGAUGUGCGAAAGCGUGGGGAUCAAACAGGAUUAGAUACCCUGGUAGUCCACGCCGUAAACGAUGAGUGCUAAGUGUUAGGGGGUUUCCGCCCCUUAGUGCUGCAGCUAACGCAUUAAGCACUCCGCCUGGGGAGUACGACCGCAAGGUUGAAACUCAAAGGAAUUGACGGGGACCCGCACAAGCGGUGGAGCAUGUGGUUUAAUUCGAAGCAACGCGAAGAACCUUACCAAAUCUUGACAUCCUUUGACAACUCUAGAGAUAGAGCCUUCCCCUUCGGGGGACAAAGUGACAGGUGGUGCAUGGUUGUCGUCAGCUCGUGUCGUGAGAUGUUGGGUUAAGUCCCGCAACGAGCGCAACCCUUAAGCUUAGUUGCCAUCAUUAAGUUGGGCACUCUAAGUUGACUGCCGGUGACAAACCGGAGGAAGGUGGGGAUGACGUCAAAUCAUCAUGCCCCUUAUGAUUUGGGCUACACACGUGCUACAAUGGACAAUACAAAGGGCAGCGAAACCGCGAGGUCAAGCAAAUCCCAUAAAGUUGUUCUCAGUUCGGAUUGUAGUCUGCAACUCGACUACAUGAAGCUGGAAUCGCUAGUAAUCGUAGAUCAGCAUGCUAUGGUGAAUACGUUCCCGGGUCU
Molecule: ribosomal RNA, 1372 nt
Filed under: uncultured bacterium
Lineage: Bacteria
Description: bacterial SSU rRNA
Rfam family: Bacterial small subunit ribosomal RNA
Source: RNAcentral